This 88-nucleotide transfer RNA is filed under the name Actinomycetes bacterium. RNAcentral describes it as "Actinobacteria bacterium tRNA-Ser". It matches the Rfam family "tRNA". Rfam says of the family: Transfer RNA (tRNA) molecules are approximately 80 nucleotides in length. Lineage: Bacteria; Bacillati; Actinomycetota; Actinomycetes. The record is from RNAcentral.
GGAGGGAUGCGAGAGCGGCCGAAUCGGCACGCCUGGAGAGCGUGUGUCCCCCCGGGGACCGUGGGUUCAAAUCCCACUCCCUCCGCCC